RNAcentral lists this ribosomal RNA (505 nucleotides) under Coccinella undecimpunctata (eleven-spotted ladybird). Its description in RNAcentral is "partial large subunit ribosomal RNA". The stretch from base 379 to 505 matches the Rfam family "Bacterial large subunit ribosomal RNA", at positions 2473 to 2600 of the family's 2925-position model. The record is from RNAcentral. Lineage: Eukaryota; Metazoa; Arthropoda; Insecta; Coleoptera; Coccinellidae.
UUUGAUAAUAAUAUAAAGUAGGGCCUGCCCACUGAAAUUUUAAAGGGCCGCAGUAUUUUGACUGUGCAAAGGUAGCAUAAUCAUUAGUUUUUUAAUUGAAAGCUUGUAUGAAUGGUUUGAUGAAAAAAUAACUUUCUAUAUUUAAAUUUAAUAAAAAUUUUAUUUUUAAGUUAAAAAGCUUAAAUUUUUUUAAUAGACGAGAAGACCCUAUAGAGUUUUAUUAUAAUAAAUUUUUAAAUUUUAGGAAUUUAAAAAUUUUAAUUUUUAUUAUAAUUUGGUUGGGGUGACUAAAAAAUUUAUAGAACUUUUUUUUAUUUUAUACAUUGAUUUAUGAAUAAUUGAUCCAUUUAAAUGAUUAUAAGAAUAAAUUACCUUAGGGAUAACAGCGUUAUUUUUUUUUAGAGUUCAAAUCGAAAAAAGAGAUUGCGACCUCGAUGUUGGAUUAAAGUUAAUUUUAGGUGUAGAAGCUUAAAAAUUUGGUCUGUUCGACCAUUAAAACUUUACA